Long non-coding RNA from Lolium rigidum, 410 nucleotides. RefSeq lists it as uncharacterized. Lineage: Eukaryota; Viridiplantae; Streptophyta; Magnoliopsida; Poales; Poaceae. The transcript is spliced from 3 exons. The record is from RefSeq and is a predicted model, not a curated record.
UGGAGUUGCCACGUUCGGCGCUGCUCCGGGCCGAAGCACCGCGGAUCUGGGAGCCGGAGGGUUGCCCAACACGCCCUAACUCGCUGGCACCAGCUGAAGAGCUUAUCUGUCCAAGAGACCAGGAGUGGAUGCGUUUGGGGAUCAUCCUGGUUGUGUAUUCUGAUCGGUUGAAUAUGGGCGUGGUAUGGAUGGAUGAAGGCGUAGAACAGGCGCAUCCCAGCCUUCUCUUACCCAAAUCUGUGAGGCAAGCAUCCUUCCAUCGUUUUAUGGAUUGAAGAAGGCGCACAAUGAGAUCGGUCCACCCUUCUCUUACCCGGAUCAGCCAAGGGAUCAUCCUUCCAUGACAACGGCCAAAUCAUGUACUGAUGACCUCUCGACGGCGUCGUAUACGUCUAGGUCAACACAUUCAC